CCUUGUCCCAGCAGCCGCGGUAAUACGUAGGGUGCGAGCGUUAAUCGGAAUUACUGGGCGUAAAGCGUGCGCAGGCGGAUUGUUAAGCAAGACGUGAGAUCCCCGGGCUUAACCUGGGAAUGGCGUUUUGAACUGGCAGUCUAGAGUGCGUCAGAGGGGGGUGGAAUUCCACGUGUAGCAGUGAAAUGCGUAGAGAUGUGGAGGAACACCGAUGGCGAAGGCAGCCCCCUGGGAUGACACUGACGCUCAUGUACGAAAGCGUGGGUAGCAAACAGGAUUAGAUACCCUGGUAGUCCACGCCCUAAACGAUGUCAACUGGUUGUUGGGGGAGUGAAAUCCCUUAGUAACGAAGCUAACGCGUGAAGUUGACCGCCUGGGGAGUACGGCCGCAAGGUUAAAACUCAAAGGAAUUGACGGGGACCCGCACAAGCGGUGGAUGAUGUGGUUUAAUUCGAUGCAACGCGAAAAACCUUACCCACCUUUGACAUGUAUGGAAGAUCGCAGAGACGCGAUUGUGCUCGAAAGAGAGCCAUAACACAGGUGCUGCAUGGCUGUCGUCAGCUCGUGUCGUGAGAUGUUGGGUUAAGUCCCGCAACGAGCGCAACCCUUGCCAUUAGUUGCUACAUUUAGUUGGGCACUCUAAUGGGAC
Molecule: ribosomal RNA, 649 nt
Filed under: uncultured bacterium
Lineage: Bacteria
Description: bacterial SSU rRNA
Rfam family: Bacterial small subunit ribosomal RNA
Source: RNAcentral